Molecule: long non-coding RNA, 67 nt
Organism: Amblyraja radiata (thorny skate)
Lineage: Eukaryota; Metazoa; Chordata; Chondrichthyes; Rajiformes; Rajidae
Exons: 3
Source: RefSeq, a predicted model, not a curated record
UCGCUGGGGUAGCCUACACCCCAGUGGUAUCAACAAUGACUUCUCUAACUUCAAAUAACUCUUGCUU